GGGCCCGUAGCUCAGUUGGUCAGAGCGGCAGUCUUAUAAGCUGUAGGUCGAGAGUUCAAAUCUCUCCGGGCCCA
This 74-nucleotide transfer RNA is filed under the name Microcaldota archaeon. RNAcentral's name for it is "tRNA-Ile". It matches the Rfam family "tRNA". From Rfam's summary of the family: Transfer RNA (tRNA) molecules are approximately 80 nucleotides in length. Their secondary structure includes four short double-helical elements and three loops (D, anti-codon, and T loops). Further hydrogen bonds mediate the characteristic L-shaped molecular structure. tRNAs have two regions of fundamental functional importance: the anti-codon, which is responsible for specific mRNA codon recognition, and the 3' end, to which the tRNAs corresponding amino acid is attached (by aminoacyl-tRNA synthetases). tRNAs cope with the degeneracy of the genetic code in two manners: having more than one tRNA (with a specific anti-codon) for a particular amino acid; and 'wobble' base-pairing, i.e. permitting non-standard base-pairing at the 3rd anti-codon position. The record is from RNAcentral. Lineage: Archaea; Nanobdellati; Microcaldota.